This 689-nucleotide ribosomal RNA is filed under the name Curtobacterium sp. RNAcentral's name for it is "bacterial SSU rRNA". It matches the Rfam family "Bacterial small subunit ribosomal RNA", at positions 23 to 724 of the family's 1533-position model. Lineage: Bacteria; Bacillati; Actinomycetota; Actinomycetes; Micrococcales; Microbacteriaceae. The record is from RNAcentral.
CUCAGGACGAACGCUGGCGGCGUGCUUAACACAUGCAAGUCGAACGAUGAUGCCCAGCUUGCUGGGUGGAUUAGUGGCGAACGGGUGAGUAACACGUGAGUAACCUGCCCCUGACUCUGGGAUAAGCGUUGGAAACGACGUCUAAUACUGGAUAUGACUGCCGGCCGCAUGGUCUGGUGGUGGAAAGAUUUUUUGGUUGGGGAUGGACUCGCGGCCUAUCAGCUUGUUGGUGAGGUAAUGGCUCACCAAGGCGACGACGGGUAGCCGGCCUGAGAGGGUGACCGGCCACACUGGGACUGAGACACGGCCCAGACUCCUACGGGAGGCAGCAGUGGGGAAUAUUGCACAAUGGGCGAAAGCCUGAUGCAGCAACGCCGCGUGAGGGAUGACGGCCUUCGGGUUGUAAACCUCUUUUAGUAGGGAAGAAGCGAAAGUGACGGUACCUGCAGAAAAAGCACCGGCUAACUACGUGCCAGCAGCCGCGGUAAUACGUAGGGUGCAAGCGUUGUCCGGAAUUAUUGGGCGUAAAGAGCUCGUAGGCGGUUUGUCGCGUCUGCUGUGAAAUCCCGAGGCUCAACCUCGGGCUUGCAGUGGGUACGGGCAGACUAGAGUGCGGUAGGGGAGAUUGGAAUUCCUGGUGUAGCGGUGGAAUGCGCAGAUAUCAGGAGGAACACCGAUGGCGAAGGCAG